CUCACCUAUCCGUCGCUUGGGUUCUUCGAUCGCAGGAGCGAUGGCCCUCCACUGCUGUCAUACUCAUCACUCCCCCACCGAUUUACGAGCCAGCGAGAAUCCGGUAAACAAAUACUAGAUCCAAUUGGAAGAUACUCCUACUACAAAUCAAAUGAACCCACCAAUAUCACGCUUGUUCGCUCUACUGAUGAUGCUAGCUUUCUGCGGGAAAUGUCGUGGUCGAUCGACGAUCAUGGCAAAAAACCAAGUCAUUGGGUGCCUUUCACGCGCUGGUCCCCAUUUUGUUUUCCUAUUGCUGUGACGCAUAUAUG
This 311-nucleotide unclassified non-coding RNA is filed under the name Zea mays. Its description in RNAcentral is "misc RNA Zm00001eb287990". The record is from RNAcentral. Lineage: Eukaryota; Viridiplantae; Streptophyta; Magnoliopsida; Poales; Poaceae.